GGGUGUGAGGGCCCAUUGGUUGCCAUUGGUUGGUCUGAUCUGCCUGGCUACGUGUCCUAUUCCUCACUGCUCCAUGUGCAUUCAUCUUGAAUCUGCAUGCUCAGGUCAAGAGUAUAAUGAGUAGCAGUGUUUCCCUGAUAGAACGUCCAAACAGGGUCUUAAGAAGCUCAUUAUAGAUUGUGCAAUACAGUGUGCUGCUGUAUAGACCCUAACUAAGCCUUA
Molecule: small nuclear RNA, 222 nt
Filed under: Dipodomys ordii (Ord's kangaroo rat)
Lineage: Eukaryota; Metazoa; Chordata; Mammalia; Rodentia; Heteromyidae
Description: 7SK RNA
Rfam family: 7SK RNA
About the family: 7SK was discovered as an abundant small nuclear RNA in the mid-70s but a possible function has only recently been suggested.
Source: Rfam by way of RNAcentral